This 591-nucleotide ribosomal RNA is filed under the name Pasteurella atlantica. RNAcentral describes it as "partial 23S ribosomal RNA". It matches the Rfam family "Bacterial large subunit ribosomal RNA", at positions 192 to 823 of the family's 2925-position model. RNAcentral also lists the same sequence under 1 other name. The record is from RNAcentral. Lineage: Bacteria; Pseudomonadati; Pseudomonadota; Gammaproteobacteria; Pasteurellales; Pasteurellaceae.
ACUGAAACAUCUAAGUACCCCGAGGAAAAGAAAUCAACCGAGAUUCUGUGAGUAGCGGCGAGCGAAAGUGGAAGAGCCAGUUAGUUUUAGCAUUUGUAUUAAGAGAAUGAGUUGGGAAACUCAAUCAAAGAGGGUGAUAAUCCCGUAUCUGAAAAUACAAUUGUGGAACUAAGCUAACGAUAAGUAGGGCGGGACACGUGAUAUCCUGUUUGAAGAUGGGGGGACCAUCCUCCAAGGCUAAAUACUCCUGAUUGACCGAUAGUGAACAAGUACUGUGAAGGAAAGGUAAAAAGAACCCCUGCGAGGGGAGUGAAAUAGAACCUGAAACCGUGUACGUACAAGCAGUAGGAGCAACUUCGUGUUGUGACUGCGUACCUUUUGUAUAAUGGGUCAGCGACUUAUAUUUUGUAGCAAGGUUAACCGAAUAGGGGAGCCGUAGGGAAACCGAGUCUUAACUGGGCGUUUAGUUGCAAGGUAUAGACCCGAAACCCGGUGAUCUAGCCAUGGGCAGGUUGAAGGUUGGGUAACACUAACUGGAGGACCGAACCGACUAAUGUUGAAAAAUUAGCGGAUGACUUGUGGCUGGGGGUG